RNAcentral lists this ribosomal RNA (443 nucleotides) under uncultured bacterium. RNAcentral's name for it is "partial 16S ribosomal RNA". It matches the Rfam family "Bacterial small subunit ribosomal RNA", at positions 338 to 795 of the family's 1533-position model. The record is from RNAcentral.
CCUACGGGUGGCAGCAGUGGGGAAUAUUGGUCAAUGGGCGCAAGCCUGACCCAGCAACGCCGCGUGAAGGAAGAAGGCCCUCGGGUUGUAAACUUCUUUUUACAGGGACGAAAAAAGCGACGGUACCUGUUGAAUAAGCCACGGCUAACUACGUGCCAGCAGCCGCGGUAAUACGGCGGUGGCAGUCGUUAUGCGGAGUUGCUGGGUGUAAAGGGCGUGUAGGCGGGAGAGCAAGUCAGAUGUGAAAUUCCAGGGCUCAACCCUGGAACUGCUUUUGAAACUGUUCUUCUUGAGUGAUGGAGAGGCAGGCGGAAUUCGGGGUGUAGCGGUGAAAUGCGUAGAUAUAAGGAGGAACACCAGUGGCGAAGGCGGCCUGCUGGAGAUUAACUGACGCUGAGGCGCGAAAGCGUGGGGAGCAAACAGGAUUAGAUACCCGUGUAGUC